This 253-nucleotide ribosomal RNA is filed under the name uncultured microorganism. RNAcentral describes it as "partial 16S ribosomal RNA". It matches the Rfam family "Bacterial small subunit ribosomal RNA", at positions 524 to 776 of the family's 1533-position model. The record is from RNAcentral.
UACGGAGGGUGCAAGCGUUAAUCGGAAUUACUGGGCGUAAAGCGCGCGUAGGUGGUUUGUUAAGUUGAAUGUGAAAUCCCCGGGCUCAACCUGGGAACUGCAUCCAAAACUGGCAAGCUAGAGUAUGGUAGAGGGUGGUGGAAUUUCCUGUGUAGCGGUGAAAUGCGUAGAUAUAGGAAGGAACACCAGUGGCGAAGGCGACCACCUGGACUGAUACUGACACUGAGGUGCGAAAGCGUGGGGAGCAAACAGG